This 521-nucleotide ribosomal RNA is filed under the name uncultured bacterium. RNAcentral's name for it is "partial 16S ribosomal RNA". It matches the Rfam family "Bacterial small subunit ribosomal RNA", at positions 29 to 523 of the family's 1533-position model. The record is from RNAcentral.
AACGAACGCUGGCGGCGUGGAUAAGACAUGCAAGUCGAGCGGAGUAUCGCGGGUAGCAAUAUUCGUGAUACUUAGCGGCGAAAGGGUGAGUAACACGUAGAUCAUCUACCUCCAAGUGUGGAAUAGCUCGGCGAAAGCCGGAUUAAUACCGCAUGUGGUUGAGGAACGCAUGUUCCGAAAACUAAAGUCGGGGAUCGUAAGACCUGAUGCUUGGAGAUGAGUCUGCGGCCUAUCAGCUUGUUGGCGGGGUAACGGCCCACCAAGGCUAAGACGGGUAGCUGGGCUGAGAGGACGACCAGUCACACUGGAACUGAGACACGGUCCAGACACCUACGGGUGGCAGCAGUCGAGAAUUUUUCGCAAUGGGCGCAAGCCUGACGGAGCGACGCCGCGUGGGGGAUGAAGGUCUUCGGAUUGUAAACCCCUGUCACUUGGGAACAAAUUGGAUGACCUAACGCGUCAUCCAUUGAUAGUACCAAGAGAGGAAGCCGUGGCUAACUCUGUGCCAGCCGCCGCGGUAA